Molecule: long non-coding RNA, 1347 nt
Organism: Megalopta genalis
Lineage: Eukaryota; Metazoa; Arthropoda; Insecta; Hymenoptera; Halictidae
Source: RefSeq, a predicted model, not a curated record
UCGAACAAAAGAAUCGUAUCUAAGAUCUGCGGACGGCAUAGUGUUAAUAGGGAAAUUAUUGACACUGAACCAGCGGAGCGCUAAAAGUGAUUAGCGCGCGUCGCUCUGUAACGAUGACAAGGCAGCAGAGCGUAGACAUGUCAUCGGCUUCAUUAGAAGAGGCUUUUCAAUUUCUGCAACUAUAAAACAAAGAACGUGAAAUCAUAGUGGAACCGACUGAGAAUGGGAACGCGUAGGAGAGUCGGAUCGAUUUGCUUGAAAUGGAAUGGGCUUUCCUGGAAAACUGUCUCUCUUGUAAUGCGGCCGAUUUUUCCGGAAUUUGCGGUACAAACGCGACAAUUAUUGACUCGGCCGCGCGCGGAAUAAUUACACGACAGGCCCCGCUGCAUCGAGGUUUCAGUCGUUGCCCGGGGCGUCAUUUGACGGCUGGCUGGUUUGCCGUGUUUAUGGAAUAUGAUUUGCGGCGGCCGCGGCCGAGGGAAUUAUGGCAUCUUGGGUUUCCAUAAUGCCGCGAUUCGCCGCUCGCGGAGACGCCUAAUCCAGGUCCGUGCGAGAAGAUCCUCUUAUCGCGAGGACACGUUCGCUCCGACCAGCGAAGACGAUUAUCUUCGGAAGUUCGGUGCGAGAAGGAGCACCGCCGCCACGCCGGCAGCCGGUCUUCCGUUUCUCUGACGACUUUUUCCUGUAGAAAAUUUCGCCUUCUAAUUAUUGCACGAUCUAAUCAGGCUUCGCCGUCUUAUCGGCUCGGCCCGCUCGGCGAUCACACGCUUCGCGCGUAAGCACUGAAUAACUUAACGCGUCAAGCGGCGAAAAUCAAGCUCGAAAGUUUUUCCACAAGCUCCGAGUAAUUUAAUCAAUGAAACGGAAAUUGGAUGGUCAAAAUUUUAUCACGGCGGACGGCGUUUUUUGCAUUCGGAAACGUCCUGGUGAAAUCAAGUUUCUUUGAAUAUAUUACGACGGAGGUGGAUUCUGCGACGCUCGACGCGUCGGCUGUUCGUCUGUAAUUAUUAUUAUUUAUUAUUUCCGGGAGGUGUUCCAGAAGCUGUUGCAUUAAUUUCGUUGUUUUACAUGCGAAAGGCUCGGAAGUCGAUCGAUGUGAAGUUCGUUGAUCUUAAAAUUCAGGUAAAUUAGGAUUUUGCUAAUUGACCGUGAGAUGAUGGCAAAGCUGCUAAUAAUUGUAAGAUGAUAAUAAUCUUAGAAUAAUCUUAAGCAGAAGAGAAACAAAAGAAAAAUGUCAAUGUAUUUUUCUGUUUAAAAUCGACUAUUUUGAUAAUAACCUUAAAAUAACAUUAACUAAAAGAGAGAAACAAAAGAAGAACGUCAAUAUAUUCUUCUUUUUAAAAUCGA